UCGCUUUGGCAGCACAUAUACUAAAAUUGGAACGAUACAGAGAAGAUUAGCAUGGCCCCUGCUCAAGGAUGACACACAAAUUAAAAACAAAUAAACAAAAAAA
Molecule: small nuclear RNA, 103 nt
Organism: Sorex fumeus (smoky shrew)
Lineage: Eukaryota; Metazoa; Chordata; Mammalia; Eulipotyphla; Soricidae
Source: RefSeq, a predicted model, not a curated record